GUCCUCUACAACUGCAUGAUCGAUGCAUCACAUACUGAGCAGACAGUGACCGACCGACUAUCACUCGGCUACUCUUGUGCAUCAUGGCUAAUAUCCUCUCAUCAGCUGACCAUAUCUGGCUGACCAACUUCGCACCACUGAAUAGAUCUUGGUUUUGGACUUCUCCAUUCGAUGGCGACACAAGACGAUCGACCCUUAGUCA
This 202-nucleotide long non-coding RNA is filed under the name Elaeis guineensis (African oil palm). Its description in RNAcentral is "long non-coding RNA (EGUI_LNC073968)". The record is from RNAcentral. Lineage: Eukaryota; Viridiplantae; Streptophyta; Magnoliopsida; Arecales; Arecaceae.